Molecule: ribosomal RNA, 389 nt
Filed under: Haptolina sp.
Lineage: Eukaryota; Haptophyta; Prymnesiales; Prymnesiaceae
Description: partial small subunit ribosomal RNA
Rfam family: Eukaryotic small subunit ribosomal RNA
Source: RNAcentral
AUUCCAGCUCCAAUAGCGUAUAUUAAAGUUGUUGCAGUUAAAACGCUCGUAGUCGGAUUUCGGGGCCUGCCUGCCGGUCUGCCGAUGGGUAUGCACUGGCAGGCGCGUCCUUCCUUCCGGAGACUGUCCCUACUCUUAACUGAGCGGGGUCGGGAGACGGAUCGUUUACUUUGAAAAAAUCAGAGUGUUUCAAGCAGGCAGCUCGCUCUUGCAUGGAUUAGCAUGGGAUAAUGAAAUAGGACUUUGGUGCUAUUUUGUUGGUUUCGAACACCGAGGUAAUGAUUAAUAGGGAUAGUUGGGGGCAUUAGUAUUUAAUUGUCAGAGGUGGAAUUCUCGGAUUUGUUAAAGACUAACUUAUGCGAAAGCAUUUGCCAAGGAUGUUUUCAUUA